CUUGUUCAAUUAUAGGAGGUCCAGCCUGCCCAGUGACUUUGUUCAACGGCCGCGGUAUCCUAACCGUGCGAAGGUAGCGUAAUCACUUGUUCUUUAAAUGAGGACUAGUAUGAAUGGCCCCACGAGGGCUGCACUGUCUCCUUUUUCUAAUCAAUGAAACUAAUCUCCCCGUGAAGAAGCGGGAAUAAUCCUAUAAGACGAGAAGACCCUAUGGAGCUUUAAACAACUGAAACAUUUGCUUUUCUCCUAAUUCCUCCCGAGCUCUUUAUUUUCACUUAAGCAUUAUUAUUUCUAGUUUUAGGUUGGGGUGACCACGGAGCAAAACUAAACCUCCAUGAAGAAAUGAAUAUUUUUAAGCCACAAACUACUUUUUUAAGCAUCAACAAAUUGACCUUCAUUGACCCAAUAUAUUGAUCAACGAAC
Molecule: ribosomal RNA, 423 nt
Filed under: Ameerega trivittata group sp. ABGD cluster 24
Lineage: Eukaryota; Metazoa; Chordata; Amphibia; Anura; Dendrobatidae
Description: partial large subunit ribosomal RNA
Rfam family: Bacterial large subunit ribosomal RNA
Source: RNAcentral